This is a small nuclear RNA of Rosa chinensis, 133 nucleotides long. Lineage: Eukaryota; Viridiplantae; Streptophyta; Magnoliopsida; Rosales; Rosaceae. The record is from RefSeq and is a predicted model, not a curated record.
GUGUUCCUAGAAAGUUGAGAUGGUUGUCAUCUCCCUUAACAGGGACUGCAACUUGUCUUCGGAUUUAUGUGUCACCACACAUCCAGACAUCCAGUUAAGGCUUCCCACCCUUGUGGUGGAUCUCAUAAUUUCA